ACGGAAUAGAUACCCCGGUAGUCCACGCUGUAAACGAUGAUUACUCGAUGUUGGCGAUACACAGUCAGCGUCUGAGCGAAAGCAAUAAGUAAUCCACCUGGGGAGUACGAUCGCAAGAUUGAAACUCAAAGGAAUUGACGGGGGCCCGCACAAGCGGAGGGGCAUGUGGUUUAAUUCGAUGAUACGCGAGGAACCUUACCUGGGCUCGAACGUAAGAUGACUGUAGGUGAAAGCUUACAUCUCUUCGGAGCAUUUUACGAGGUGCUGCAUGGUUGUCGUCAGCUCGUGCCGUGAGGUGUCGGGUUAAGUCCCAUAACGAGCGCAACCCCUACCUUUAGUUGCCAACAGGUCAUGCUGGGGACUCUAAAGGAACUGCCUACGCAAGUAGUGAGGAAGGCGGGGAUGACGUCAAAUCAGCACGGCCCUUACGUCCAGGGCUACACACGUGCUACAAUGGCCGAUACAGAGGGCAGCUACCUGGUGACAGGAUGCAAAUCUCCAAAGUCGGUCUCAGUUCGGAUCGGA
RNAcentral lists this ribosomal RNA (525 nucleotides) under uncultured bacterium. RNAcentral's name for it is "bacterial SSU rRNA". It matches the Rfam family "Bacterial small subunit ribosomal RNA", at positions 772 to 1302 of the family's 1533-position model. The record is from RNAcentral.